GGUUGCGAUCAUACCAGCACUAAUGCACCGUAUCCCAUCAGAACUCCGCAGUUAAGCGUGCUUGGGCGAGAGUAGUACUAGGAUGGGUGACCCCCUGGGAAGUCCUCGUGUUGCAACCCC
Molecule: ribosomal RNA, 120 nt
Filed under: Helianthus annuus (common sunflower)
Lineage: Eukaryota; Viridiplantae; Streptophyta; Magnoliopsida; Asterales; Asteraceae
Also listed under: 1 other name
Source: RNAcentral